UUCCAAAAAAACAAUUUCGCGAUUCAUUAUUGUUCUGCUUCUAUGAUUUCCAUUGUGAUUCUGUUUUUUAAGAAAGUUAUUAUUAUGGCGUCUCGAUCAGGAGCUCUUCCGAUGGCGGCAGAGAAUGUGGAUUUAGGUUGAAAUAUCUCUUUCAUCUUUCCAAGAUCGAGUAUCUUUUUCAUUCUGCGUGUUGCGAUUUUCAAUUGAAGCAUCUAAUUUUAACUGUUCUUUGUGAUUAGUGGAGGAAUUUUAGGGCAAUGUCAGUGAGUGAGUUGAAUUGUUGCUAUCGAUGUUGAAACUAAGAAUUUCUUCGAGUUAUUAAUUGAAGUGUCAUGUAUGCUUUUCAAGACUAGGAUUCUCGUUUAACGUCGGUUCAAAGAAUCUUGAAAAGAGAUUAUAUUAUCACUGUUGAGCUUCCAGGAUCGUUCCAUCAGCUACCCACUUCGUUUUCAAGUAUCACACGAAAGAUUGAUAUUCUGCACGAAGCUUGUUAGUUGGAUUAUUGGACUCUGAUUGGAUUCCGAUUGCUAAUUAUAUGCAAGCUUUGGAAUUAGUGACAACUAUCGAAACUAUUGAUUCUGGACUACAUAUUAUGAACAUAAUGCUUGGAGAUGCUUUUCUACCACUUCAAAAGUUUCCACGUGAUAGAAGUACUUGGUAUCUUCAUUUUGGCCACAGGGACUGACAAACAACAAAAAGAGGUUCAGCAAGGUGGAAAAGCUAGAGUUGAUAAACUAAAUUCUACAACCCCCUUGAUUGUCAACCUUGAACCUGUUCAACAAGUACAAAAUGGUGUGAAGUUCCUUUCAUAUCCCAAAGUAAGGGGCUCUCCCGUCAUCUAAAGAAGAUCUUUUCUUGAGCAGAAUGGCUUGCAAAGGAGGAGAUAGAUUAAGCAUUUAGGCACGUGCCUGUAAGCAAAUGUCUUAUUCUAUCAGUCAUAUAUGCUUGAUUUUUGUCAUCCUAAACUUGUGUACCAUGGAUUGCGAUUUACAUGCUUUUCAGUUAUCUGUCCGACCUAUCUCAAUAUUACAAUUAGUCACCACUGAUAGUAACACUGUACCCGAAUUUUAUUCUAAUGGGCAAAUCCCAGGACCCACCUCCAACAGCAGUGAUAUCUAGUGGGAGUCAAGGUAAUUUAUGGACUUGAGCCAGUUAUUUUGACAUGAAUUUUUUGAAUUACUUCAUCCAGUAGCUUUAUAGUGAACAGAUGAACGGGUGAAAUCACCUUCAAACAAUCACCUACAAGCUUCAGUACAAACUUUUCUGCCUUCAGCUAGUGCACCCGUUGCACCCCCCAUGGUUGUUUCAUCAUCGGCUACAUUGAAGUGGUCUGAUAUAGCUGUAGGACUCCUGUCGUUUUCAGGUGCUGGAACAACUUUCAUAAUUAAAGCAAGAGAGAUCGACAACGAAAUAGUUCCAAGAUUGAAAUCCUGGAUCCGCAUGUUUUUAUACGAUGGACAUGAAGAUAUUGUAAAAGGAGAUAGUUCCAUAUCAAGUUUGGUAGAAGAAGCAGCUUCAGAAGCGCCAAUUGAUGUAGCAAGAGCAAGCCAGGAUAUGUUGAACUCAAACUGCCCUAUCUCAUAUUCUUCAAAAUACCGGCUAACUAUCAUCUUUACCCAUCCCUAUUCACAUUUUUUUUCUGCAUACUGUAAUUAUCAGAGAUUAAUUGUGAUGAUCGAACCUCAUUUUGUACGUUGCCAGAGAUUCGAAAAUUGAGGAAAUUAUUUUUUUAUUACAUAUGCAACUACGGAAAAUGAAGACUCUGACAAGUCUCUUGUUGGGUUCGGAAGGCGAUUCAAAACGAACAAAUUAUUCUGGUGUAAGAGCAUGUGGUAACUCCAAUCCUUUACACAAAUUGCAGAGCCAGGGGGGAAGUUUUUAUUCCACGAUGCAGAAUUAUGGGACGAACUAUCAGUGGAACGAAAGUAUCAAAGUUAUAAAAAUACUGUAAGUAUACUUCUAUAGCAUUGUAAUUAUCAAAAUUUCUAUCCACAAUAGACUAUAGAUCUCAGGCUGCUCAUCUAUUUUGAGGUGAUGGGUGUCUGUACGUUUAUCUAUUUUUAGGCAACAAAAGUGUCAGUAUGUGCAUUGACAUGUUUGUUACUAUGCAUUCUAAACAACAUGUGACAACUGCAUUUUUCUCACAUAGUUAUUUGACAACUUAGAUA
This is a non-coding RNA of Benincasa hispida (wax gourd), 2168 nucleotides long. Lineage: Eukaryota; Viridiplantae; Streptophyta; Magnoliopsida; Cucurbitales; Cucurbitaceae. The record is from RefSeq and is a predicted model, not a curated record.